RNAcentral lists this ribosomal RNA (517 nucleotides) under uncultured bacterium. RNAcentral describes it as "partial 16S ribosomal RNA". It matches the Rfam family "Bacterial small subunit ribosomal RNA", at positions 29 to 523 of the family's 1533-position model. The record is from RNAcentral.
AACGAACGCUGGCGGCGUGGAUAAGACAUGCAAGUCGAACGGGAUUUUGUUCUGUAGCAAUACAGGAAAAAGUCUAGUGGCGAACGGGUGCGUAACACGUGAGCAACCUGCCGUGAAGUGGGGGAUAGCUCGCCGAAAGGCGAAUUAAUACCGCAUGUGGCCAAGGAAGACAUCUUCCUGACGCCAAAGCCGGGGCAACCUGGCGCUUCGCGAGGGGCUCGCGGCCUACCAGCUUGUUGGUGAGGUAACGGCUCACCAAGGCUAUGACGGGUAGCUGGUCUGAGAGGACGACCAGCCACACUGGAACUGAGACACGGUCCAGACACCUACGGGUGGCAGCAGUCGAGAAUUUUUCACAAUGGGGGAAACCCUGAUGGAGCGACGCCGCGUGGAGGAUGAAGGUUUUCGGAUUGUAAACUCCUGUCAUUAGAGAACAAGGCACACGGUUUAACUGGCCGUGUGUUGAUAGUAUCUGAAGAGGAAGAGACGGCUAACUCUGUGCCAGCCGCCGCCGUAA